This 929-nucleotide ribosomal RNA is filed under the name Schistosoma cf. indicum W799. Its description in RNAcentral is "partial 16S ribosomal RNA". The stretch from base 488 to 641 matches the Rfam family "Archaeal large subunit ribosomal RNA", at positions 1887 to 2086 of the family's 2987-position model. Lineage: Eukaryota; Metazoa; Platyhelminthes; Trematoda; Strigeidida; Schistosomatidae. The record is from RNAcentral.
UAGGUGGGUGCUGUAUAGGAUAUUGUAAAAUUAUAGUUUGGAUAUUUUCGUACCUUUUGUAUCAUGAUUUUUUGAUGGAUAGUAAAAUAUUUUUGUGUCCCGAAAGGUUUACGAUUUUAUUUAGUUUAAUUCUUUAGCUGAUAUUUUCGGUUAACGGGGUUAGAGAAUAUUAGGUGAAUAUCUUGAGAAACUAUUAUAGGAAGUGAUAAAUUAUUCGUGUAAUCUUAUAUCUGGUUAAUGACUUAAAUAUCGAAGAGAGUGGAAUAUUGGUUGUGCUUAUUUUCUAGAACAGAGAUAAUAAUAGGGGAUUAAUAUUUUUGGCUUAGAUUAAGAUUGUCUUUGGUUAAAUGAGUUAUUUACCUAGCUUAUUAUAUAGUGGUUAAUUAUCUUGUGUAAUAAAAGUCAUUUAGAUGAAUUUGUUGUAGAAAAAUGAAAGAAUAAGUAGGUUUAUUUUUAGUAGUAAUUGUUUUUUUUUUCGGAGAUUGUUUUCAACUGUUUAUUAAAAACAUUUCUAUUUGGUAAGUUAUAAAUAGUAUGGCCUGCCCAAUGAACAGAUAUAUAAAUGGCCGCGGCUUUUAGCUGUGCUAAGGUAGCAUAAUAUAUAGUUUUUUAAUUGGAGACUUGUGAAUGGUUUAAUGAAAGAUGUCUAAAAUGAUGAUUUUUUCUGAAUUUAAUAUAGUGGUAAGGAAUCCAUUAUUAUAAUAUGGGACGGAAAGACCCCAAGAGCUUUACUAAAAUUAGUUUUAUUUGGGGUAAAUGUUGAUAAUUCAUUUAUUUAUAGAUCCUAAAGGAUAAAGGGUAAAGUUACCUUGGGGAUAACUGAGUAAAGAGUGGAGAGAGGUCUUAUUGAUCCAUUUGUUGCUACCUCGAUGUUGGCUUGUUGGACCUAUUUGGUGAAGAGGCUAAGAUAGGGGGUCUGUCGACUUAUU